Molecule: ribosomal RNA, 496 nt
Filed under: uncultured bacterium
Lineage: Bacteria
Description: bacterial SSU rRNA
Rfam family: Bacterial small subunit ribosomal RNA
Source: RNAcentral
UGAACGCUAGCUACGAGGCUUAACACAUGCAAGUCGAGGGGAAACGAUUAUUGGGAAGCUUGCUUUCUGAUAGGCGUCGACCGGCGCACGGGUGAGUAACGCGUAUCCAACCUGCCCAUCACGUUGGGGAUUAACCUUGACGAAGUAAGACUAAUACCCAAUGACGUCUCUAGAAGACAUCUGAAAGAGAUUAAAGAUUUAUCGGUGAUGGAUGGGGAUGCGUCUGAUUAGCUUGUUGGCGGGGUAACGGCCCACCAAGGCGACGAUCAGUAGGGGUUCUGAGAGGAAGGUCCCCCACAUUGGAACUGAGACACGGUCCAAACUCCUACGGGAGGCAGCAGUGAGGAAUAUUGGUCAAUGGACGAGAGUCUGAACCAGCCAAGUAGCGUGCAGGAUGACGGCCCUAUGGGUUGUAAACUGCUUUUAUAAGGGAAUAAAGUGGGAGUCGUGACUCUUUUUGCAUGUACCUUAUGAAUAAGGACCGGCUAAUUCCGUG